This 427-nucleotide ribosomal RNA is filed under the name uncultured Chromatiaceae bacterium. Its description in RNAcentral is "partial 16S ribosomal RNA". It matches the Rfam family "Bacterial small subunit ribosomal RNA", at positions 355 to 774 of the family's 1533-position model. The record is from RNAcentral. Lineage: Bacteria; Pseudomonadati; Pseudomonadota; Gammaproteobacteria; Chromatiales; Chromatiaceae.
UGGGGAAUAUUGGACAAUGGGCGCAAGCCUGAUCCAGCAAUGCCGCGUGUGUGAAGAAGGCCUGCGGGUUGUAAAGCACUUUCAGUGGGGAAGAAAAGCCUCUGGUGAAUAGCCGGGGGUUUUGACGUUACUCACAGAAGAAGCACCGGCUAACUCCGUGCCAGCAGCCGCGGUAAUACGGAGGGUGCGAGCGUUAAUCGGAAUCACUGGGCGUAAAGCGCACGUAGGCGGCCGAGUCAGUCUGCUGUGAAAUCCCCGGGCUCAACCUGGGAACGGCAGUGGAUACUGCUUGGCUAGAGUUUGAAAGAGGGGGGUGGAAUUCCAGGUGUAGCGGUGAAAUGCGUAGAGAUCUGGAGGAACACCAGUGGCGAAGGCGGCCCCCUGGUUCAAAACUGACGCUGAGGUGCGAAAGCGUGGGGAGCAAACA